UUCCUUAUUAAGUUCCACCUACUUCUUAACAUGCUUCUCUUACUGUGCUUAUCAAUUUUUCAGUAUGUUUCAGAUUAGUUUCCUCUACUCUGUUUUCUUUGAACUCUUCUACUGUUCUUUGCAUGUCACUUUCUAUUAUGUUUCUCAUGAAUUUCUGCUGGUGAAAGAAACAAGUUAGAGGUUUCAAUUCUUUUCUGAGAUCUCUGAACUUGUUUCGAUUUAAUUGCUUACCCUCUCUUCUCUGCACUCGAUUAAUGGCGAAAACCCUAGAAUUUGGGGGUUCUUCUAGGUUUGGCUAUGUGAUUUUCUCGAACUAGGGUUUAUUUCAAAACCCCCAACUCUUUGAGACCAACUUUGAGUCUCUGAACUGAGAUUGGUCAUUCUUGUUCUCAUACAAUUUUGAUUUUUUCUAAACCUUUUUUUAAUUCUUUUGCAUACUAUCAGAUGCUUCUCUUCUUCUGGAUUGUGACAAACCACUACCUACUAAUUUUUGCAAUGACACAACAUCCUUUUCCAGCUCAACAUGUUUGUAUGCUCUUUAUAUGUGACGAAUUUCCCUCUAAAUGGGUUUUUGAAUUUAUAAUUAGGUUAGACUUCCUUCUAAAUAAGCCUGAUUGAUUCUUUCCAUUGAUUGCUGAAUUCCCUGUGAUUUGACUCAAGUGAAAAACCUUCUUCAUCUUUUCUGACUCGGUUUAUUCUUGCAAAAUCUCAAAACCUUUUGAUUUACUAGCUACUAAUUGAUUUUAUUACCUUAUUUGUUUCGAAAUUCUGUCCUUAAAUAACUUUCUUAUGGAUUUACCCAUUAUUGCAUGCUCUACACCAAGUUCUUAGUCAAUUUCUUUCCUCAAAUUAUUUAUACCCGUUUGAAUCCUAAUUCCUUAAUUAAAGGAAAUCUUGUGUGAGUGAUUCUUAAUUGAUAUUCAGUUCCAUAACUAUUUUCUUGCCUUAUUUCCUCAUGACUUUCACACUAUAAAUGCACAACUUUUUCACAAACUCAGGACACAAAUUGACAAUCGUUCUGACUCCCACUUACACAAUAAUAUUCUCUUCUUGUCUGCAUUGUGGCCUAUUUUACAAGACCUAUUGCUUUCCUUUAUUUGUUUCUUUGAAACUAGUAUGUCCUGAUUACAACAAUGUGUAUUUACUUCUUUUUGGGUCCAUGACUACUAACUGUUUCUGUACAUUUCAGCACUUAAAUUGGCAUCCUGAUUUCCUUCUGUUCUUUUAUUGUGAACCCCAAACCCUUACCCAUAUAUGUGUUUUGAGUUAUGACUUAAGUAAUCACAAUUUAGGUUGUUGUCCAUGAAUUAAUUUUGAUCCAUUGGGUCUUAACCUCUAAACAAUGUGUUCUAACAGGCUCAUGGUUGUGCAAGUAUCUCUUCAUUGCUUGGCAUACCCACCAGCCUGCCUUUGCCUCUUUACAACUUUCCCAUUCCCGUAUACCCCAUAUAUGUACUGGUUUAAGGUAUUCCCUUUUUUCCCUUUCCCCUUUCAGCAUUCUUCUUCUGCAUUUGUACUCUCUCUUAGUCCCUAAGUUCUGCCCCCUUCUUGUGAGCCUUGCCUUUGGGACCUUGAGUUUCCUCUAAACCUGGUCACUUGAGGGCUGGCCCUUCCACACUGCAUUAUGCCUUAAUCUGGUGAUAAUUUUGUGUGUAGGCAUUAACCGGAGUUCAUAUGAGACUCUUAGGGAACUUUGACACAUCCAAAUGGAAGAAAUGCUUUGGAACAUGAUCUCUUGGAGUUGGUUUACUUCAUAUUUCAUACAUGAAGUCUAAAUCAGGCUCUUCUUGGUUGUACAUUUUAAUUUUUGAUGUAUUUUCUUUACUUUAUUUUAUUUUGCGCUGUAAUAAUAUUGUAACACACUCUUCGGCAUGGCUUGUGAAAAAGGGAGGGAUAACUAUGGAUGCAAAGGGUAGAUAUCCUGUCAAUAGGUC
RNAcentral lists this long non-coding RNA (1934 nucleotides) under Nicotiana benthamiana. RNAcentral's name for it is "long non-coding RNA (NBEN_LNC006887)". The record is from RNAcentral. Lineage: Eukaryota; Viridiplantae; Streptophyta; Magnoliopsida; Solanales; Solanaceae.